GUAGUCCACGCCGUAAACGAUGAAUGCUAGCCGUUGGCGAGCUUGCUCGUCAGUGGCGCAGCUAACGCUUUAAGCAUUCCGCCUGGGGAGUACGGUCGCAAGAUUAAAACUCAAAGGAAUUGACAGGGGCCCGCACAAGCGGUGGAGCAUGUGGUUCAAUUCGAAGCAACGCGCAGAACCUUACCAGCCCUUGACAUGUCCCGUAUGGAUUCCAGAGAUGGAAUUCUUCAGUUCGGCUGGCGGGAACACAGGUGCUGCAUGGCUGUCGUCAGCUCGUGUCGUGAGAUGUUGGGUUAAGUCCCGCAACGAGCGCAACCCUCGGCCUUAGUUGCCAUCAUUUAGUUGGGCACUCUAAGGCGACUGCCGGUGAUAAGCCGGAGGAAGGUGGGGAUGACGUCAAGUCCUCAUGGCCCUUACGGGCUGGGCUACACACGUGCUACAAUGGCGGUGACAGAGGGAUGCGAUGGCGCAAGCCUUGGCAAAUCUCAAAAAACCGUCUCAGUUCGGAUUGGGGUCUGCAACUCGACCCCAUGAAGUUGGAAUCGCUAGUAAUCGCGGAUCAGCACGCCGCGGUGAAUACGUUCCCGGGCCUUGUACACACCGCCCGUCACACCAUGGGAGUUGGCUUUACCUGAAGACGGUGUGUUAACCCGCAAGGGAGACAGCCGGCCACGGUAGGGUCAGCGACUGGGGUG
RNAcentral lists this ribosomal RNA (695 nucleotides) under uncultured Pseudolabrys sp. RNAcentral describes it as "bacterial SSU rRNA". It matches the Rfam family "Bacterial small subunit ribosomal RNA", at positions 790 to 1482 of the family's 1533-position model. Lineage: Bacteria; Pseudomonadati; Pseudomonadota; Alphaproteobacteria; Hyphomicrobiales; Xanthobacteraceae. The record is from RNAcentral.